GCAGUGGUGGUUUGGUUGUAGAAUUCUUGCCUUCUGUGCAGGAGACCGGGGUUUGAUUCCCGGCCAAUGCA
RNAcentral lists this transfer RNA (71 nucleotides) under Loxodonta africana (African savanna elephant). It matches the Rfam family "tRNA". Rfam says of the family: Transfer RNA (tRNA) molecules are approximately 80 nucleotides in length. Their secondary structure includes four short double-helical elements and three loops (D, anti-codon, and T loops). Further hydrogen bonds mediate the characteristic L-shaped molecular structure. tRNAs have two regions of fundamental functional importance: the anti-codon, which is responsible for specific mRNA codon recognition, and the 3' end, to which the tRNAs corresponding amino acid is attached (by aminoacyl-tRNA synthetases). tRNAs cope with the degeneracy of the genetic code in two manners: having more than one tRNA (with a specific anti-codon) for a particular amino acid; and 'wobble' base-pairing, i.e. permitting non-standard base-pairing at the 3rd anti-codon position. The record is from Rfam by way of RNAcentral. Lineage: Eukaryota; Metazoa; Chordata; Mammalia; Proboscidea; Elephantidae.